Molecule: ribosomal RNA, 427 nt
Filed under: uncultured bacterium
Lineage: Bacteria
Description: partial 16S ribosomal RNA
Rfam family: Bacterial small subunit ribosomal RNA
Source: RNAcentral
UGGGGAAUAUUGGACAAUGGGCGAAAGCCUGAUCCAGCCAUGCCGCGUGUGUGAAGAAGGUCUUCGGAUUGUAAAGCACUUUAAGUUGGGAGGAAGGGCAGUUACCUAAUACGUGAUUGUUUUGACGUUACCGACAGAAUAAGCACCGGCUAACUCUGUGCCAGCAGCCGCGGUAAUACAGAGGGUGCAAGCGUUAAUCGGAAUUACUGGGCGUAAAGCGCGCGUAGGUGGUUUGUUAAGUUGGAUGUGAAAUCCCCGGGCUCAACCUGGGAACUGCAUUCAAAACUGACUGACUAGAGUAUGGUAGAGGGUGGUGGAAUUUCCUGUGUAGCGGUGAAAUGCGUAGAUAUAGGAAGGAACACCAGUGGCGAAGGCGACCACCUGUACUAAUACUGACACUGAGGUGCGAAAGCGUGGGGAGCAAACA